AGAGUUUGAUCAUGGCUCAGAGUGAACGCUAGCGGCGUGGAUUAGGCAUGCAAGUCGAGCGCGAAAGUAAACAAAGGAUUCCUUCGGGAUGACUGCGUUUUCGAUUAGAGCGGCGCAAGGGUGAGUUACACAUGGCUAAUGUGCCCUCAACACUGGAAUAACUUCGGGAAACUGAAGCUAAUGCCAGAUAGCCUUGAAGAACCGCAUGGUUCUUUAAGUAAAGGUUGGGAUCCCUUCGGGGACCUCCUGGUUGAGGAGCGGGUCAUGCGCUAUCAGCUUGUUGGUGAGGUAAUGGCUCACCAAGGCUAUGACGGCUAGGCGGUCUGAGAGGAUGGCCGCCCACAUCGGGACUGAGACACUGCCCGGACUCCUACGGGAGGCUGCAGUCGAGAAUCAUCCGCAAUGGGCGAAAGCCUGACGGUGCGACGCCGCGUGAGGGACGAAGGCUCUAGGGUUGUAAACCUCUUUCGCCUGUUAAGAACGCCUGUACGUUAAUAGCGUGCAGAUUGACAAAAGCAGGUAAAGAAGCACCGGCUAACUCCGUGCCAGCAGCCGCGGUAAGACGGAGGGUGCAAGCGUUACUCGGAAUUACU
This 593-nucleotide ribosomal RNA is filed under the name uncultured bacterium. RNAcentral describes it as "bacterial SSU rRNA". It matches the Rfam family "Bacterial small subunit ribosomal RNA", at positions 8 to 555 of the family's 1533-position model. The record is from RNAcentral.